Molecule: ribosomal RNA, 125 nt
Filed under: Oncorhynchus kisutch (coho salmon)
Lineage: Eukaryota; Metazoa; Chordata; Actinopteri; Salmoniformes; Salmonidae
Source: RNAcentral
UUUUAUAAUAAAACAUUUUUUUUUUAAAGUACACCUGAUCUCGUCUGAUCUCAGAAGCUAAGCAGGGUCGGGCCUGGUUAGUACUUGGAUGGGAGACCGCCUGGGAAUACCAGGUGCUGUAAGCU